GCACUGGUGGUUCAGUGGUAGAAUUCUCGCCUUCCAUGGGGAGACUUAGGUUCGAUUCCCAGUCAAUGCA
Molecule: transfer RNA, 70 nt
Filed under: Loxodonta africana (African savanna elephant)
Lineage: Eukaryota; Metazoa; Chordata; Mammalia; Proboscidea; Elephantidae
Rfam family: tRNA
About the family: Transfer RNA (tRNA) molecules are approximately 80 nucleotides in length. Their secondary structure includes four short double-helical elements and three loops (D, anti-codon, and T loops).
Source: Rfam by way of RNAcentral